This 2833-nucleotide long non-coding RNA is filed under the name Lytechinus variegatus (green sea urchin). Its description in RNAcentral is "uncharacterized LOC121413616". Lineage: Eukaryota; Metazoa; Echinodermata; Echinoidea; Temnopleuroida; Toxopneustidae. The record is from RNAcentral.
AAUCAGAGAUAGAUAAUUUCAUGAAGGUCCCACAUAUAGGGGUCGGACGUACAUUUUUUAUGGAAUUGCCCUGCUUUAAACCAUCAAUAGCUACAAUACAUCCAUAUCUCUACAUGAAUCCUCAUCAGAACGUCCUGAAACUUGACAUUGAAUUCCAUUUCAGCCACGAUGUGUAGGAACGAAUAUAGUGUUCAAUCAUGGUCACAAAUCCUGAACCGUAACAUACUUCCAUUGUUUGAAUGGUGUACCACACUUUCUCAGAGACUUCAACUUCAUGGAGUUCCAUUCUGAUCCCUGCUAUGGUGCCCGGGCUAUAUGGUGCAUGCCAAAUAUACAAUGGGUUCAUUUCAAGUACAACAGUAGUUUUGAGAGUGGGAUAAAGGCUGCUGAACCGAGCUCCCAACACCAACUAGUUUAGAAAGACGAUACGAUGGUAUUAUCAACAGUUCAUAAUGUCGCACCUCUGUCUAAAUCCAUGCUAGAAGUCUUGAGGAUGAAAAUUGAUGGAAUUGGGGAGAAAUGCUGUAAAAUCUUUGUACAGAAUGCAAAAUUAAAACUUACUUCAGGAAACCCAAAGAAGUAACAAUUGAGGCAACAUUGAAAUGUAUAAUGCAUUGAUAACUUCCCCUCCACUUAUCUGUACAAACUGAAUUUUACUGUGAUGUGUUUAUUUGGUUCAUGAUCUUGAGAUCACCAACACCAACACAGAAUUGGAUUCAUGGUUUCCCAAUCCAUAGGGGUAGGUGAUGGUGAAUGGUGAAAUUACACAUAGAUCGUCAACACCAGCUGUAACACUCUGUUCUGAAGACGACAUUCAACACCAGCGCCCAACAUGAACUGCCAGAAAAACCCUAUUUUCCAAAGUCAGCAUGUUUUAAACGUCUUAAUUAAUGCGCAUGAAAACCUUUCAUCAUGAAUAAGGCAAUUCAUUGAAAACGUUGAAAAAUAUAGAGAUGUCUUUAUGCGGUAAUAUUGGUUUAAGAUAGCUAUCCAGGUGGGUGUUUCAUAAAGCUGUCCGUAAGUAAAGAGUGACUGUUCAGUUAUCAAGAUCCUUUCUUGUGGUAAAUGGUAUAGUGAAUAGGCGAUGGUUAAGCGCGUAAGAAGGGUUCACCAGUCGUUCUUAACUUACGAACAGCUUUAUGAAACAGCCCCCAGAUUGGCUUAAUACUCUCAUUUAGGCUCUGAUAUGUCAACAUUUGUACAUUCAUCUUCAUUUAAUAUGACAUUAAGAAGGUGGUAUAUUCACAUUUUGCAUAAAUACACUACAAAAAGACUUAUAUACCUUGCACAUGGAAAUUGAAAGUUGAUCGAUAAUCAAUCUAAAUUCUACAAAUAUAUGUAAAUGAUUUAUUUACAAAGACAUAAUAUAACUCAAUAUAUUUCUAUUUUGCAGUCCUCUCUAAUGCAUUUUGUAAAUGAAUUGAGUGGCAUUGUAGGAUUUAAAAAAUGCAACAGGAAGCUGAAAUUUCAAAAGAAAUUAUUAGAUGAAUGAAAAUCAUAUCUUCAAACAUAUUUGUAUUGUACAUAAAUGAAUUACAUGUAUAUAAGUAUAGAGUUUGAAAUUAGAAAUAUCAAUUGAGUUGAACUGUAGAAAGACAAAAUAUAUUUUGUUCAUUUUAUGAAUUGUAGCAAAUUCACAAACUUGAACAAUUGCUCCUGCUACAGUUGCUCUUGUCUUACUAAUUUAGAGGACAAUGGUUUAGAGCUGGGAUUGUAACAGAGUUCUUGGUUCAGAAUAGUGGAAGCAUAUCGUGCUGCACUCAACCCAGGUGAGGUGAUUUCAUCAAAUGCUUGAGCGCCAAUGGCCGCCAGGCUACGGCCGUGGUAAUAUUAUUGUGAUACCAAAUGUAAAGCACAGUAGAGUAUAUUUAUAUGGUAGCUGCGCUGUAUUGGUCCAUAUUAUUAUCUUCUUUUUUUCCAUCAGAGCAAUUGUCGCCAGAACAAAUGUCAUGAAACCGACACAUGACCCUUGACCUCCACAAAACGUUAGUACACCUUACCUUCUCCUCAUAAAUAUAUUUAAUGACUAAUAAAUAAAAUAUAUGAAAACUAUAAACCUUUAUAUUUUGACAUGAUAAAACCAUAAUACUAUACAUAUUUUUUAAAGAGGGUGUCAGUGACGUGUCACCCUCUUUUCAAGACUGCAAUAAACACGGCAUGUAAAGUAUUUCAUCUGUAGAACAGAAAAUUUCCAGUUGUGUGCGAUUUUCGCGAAUACUUAUUCAGACGUAUCAAUAAUACAUGUAGAGUCAUCAAACAUAUUUUCAAAAUUGUUUGGAAGAUGGGCAAAGAGGGGGAAGAUAAUAUUUAAACAACAGAGAACAGAUUGUGGGGAUAUCAGGCGGGUAGAUCAAAUGGUAUCAAAAAAAUAUCCCGUUGAUUGAGGAGCAAUACCUAUUAUUCACCAGGGGGAUCAAAUACCACAUCUACAACAUGAUUCUGGUACACCCUCUAAAUGCUAACCAUAAAGUCCAAAUAUAUUCAUAAUCAUGUUUGAUUUGUUAAUUUCAGCCACUGUGUGAAAAUUCUGGGUCAGACCUAGAACACAUUCCAACAGAAAUUUAAAGCUGUGAUCAUCCUCCAAAGUCCCUUCUGUGAAAUAAAAGAAAUCCAAAUACAAGAAAGUUUUUUCUUUCAAAGUUGGAAAAAAAUUCCUGUUUUUUAAUUUGGCUAUACUUUUAGAGCAUAGAAACAAAGAAAUGUAAUAUUUUUUUUGUGUGUGUGAAUCUAGGCAGUGUUAUCUUGAACAAAAACUCACUUUGAAGAUUACAUGAAUUUCCAGGGAAACGCUUAACCUUGAUCAUACUGAUCCAUGUAAGGAUUCUUGGCCAAA